Empidonax traillii (willow flycatcher) is the source of this 589-nucleotide long non-coding RNA. RefSeq lists it as uncharacterized. Lineage: Eukaryota; Metazoa; Chordata; Aves; Passeriformes; Tyrannidae. The record is from RefSeq and is a predicted model, not a curated record. The transcript is spliced from 3 exons.
GCCCAAAUGGCAAGAUGGAAAAGGGCAGCAAGGCCAUGGAGGAGAAAUGAGUGGAGUCACCAGAAAGCCUGGGAGAUGUGAAGGUCCUCCUCAGUGGGCAGCCUGACUCGGUCACAUACGACACCCCACAAAGAGCUUGCAGGUUUGGUGACAUAGUUUCCUCCUCCCAGCUCAAGCCUAGACAUGAGCCAGGAUGUGUCACUGUCUUGCUCUAAGUGGUUUAUGUUUCUCCUUAAUCAGUGAAAAUGUUACCUACCUAAAUGAGAAUGAGGAACAAACUGUACCUAUCACCAGAAAAGCUCCCUAGAAAACAGUUUCCAAACAUAUGCAUGAGAACGCUGGUCUAGUUUUCAGAAGAGUUUCAGGCUGAUUGGCAAACCAUUCCACCCGUGAAGCAAAGUUGAUCCCAAAUUCCUGUCCGCUCCUGUGAAUCCCAGCAGCUAGACUUAAGACUGGAAUGCUGAGGAGAUGGGGGAUCUCCCCUUUGAGAUGGACAAGGACUGGCUGAACCCUUGGAGACAAGCUCCAGCCAGCAUACCCUACGAUUCAGUGGAGCACGAGGUGGCCUUUUCCACAGUCUCCUCAAAUG